AGUGAACGCUGGCGGUAGGCCUAACACAUGCAAGUCGAUCGGCAGCACAGUAAGAGCUUGCUCUUACGGGUGGCGAGUGGCGGACGGGUGAGGAAUACAUCGGAAUCUGCUUUUUCGUGGGGGAUAACGUAGGGAAACUUACGCUAAUACCGCAUACGACCUACGGGUGAAAGCAGGGGAUCUUCGGACCUUGCGCGAUUGAAUGAGCCGAUGUCGGAUUAGCUAGUUGGCGGGGUAAAGGCCCACCAAGGCGACGAUCCGUAGCUGGUCUGAGAGGAUGAUCAGCCACACUGGAACUGAGACACGGUCCAGACUCCUACGGGAGGCAGCAGUGGGGAAUAUUGGACAAUGGGCGCAAGCCUGAUCCAGCCAUACCGCGUGGGUGAAGAAGGCCUUCGGGUUGUAAAGCCCUUUUGUUGGGAAAGAAAAGCAGCAGGUUAAUACCCCGCUGUUCUGACGGUACCCAAAGAAUAAGCACCGGCUAACUUCGUG
RNAcentral lists this ribosomal RNA (492 nucleotides) under uncultured bacterium. Its description in RNAcentral is "partial 16S ribosomal RNA". It matches the Rfam family "Bacterial small subunit ribosomal RNA", at positions 29 to 507 of the family's 1533-position model. The record is from RNAcentral.